UACGGAGGAUGCGAGCGUUAUCCGGAUUUAUUGGGUUUAAAGGGUGCGUAGGCGGACGGUCAAGUCAGCGGUAAAAAUGCGGUGCUCAACGCCGUACAGCCGUUGAAACUGGCAGUCUUGAGUGGGCGAGAAGUAUGCGGAAUGCGUGGUGUAGCGGUGAAAUGCAUAGAUAUCACGCAGAACUCCGAUUGCGAAGGCAGCAUACCGGCGCCCUACUGACGCUGAGGCACGAAAGCGUGGGUAUCGAACAGG
Molecule: non-coding RNA, 252 nt
Filed under: uncultured bacterium
Lineage: Bacteria
Also listed under: 1 other name
Description: partial 16S ribosomal RNA
Rfam family: Bacterial small subunit ribosomal RNA
Source: RNAcentral